CCUACGGGUGGCAGCAGUGGGGAAUAUUGGACAAUGGGGGCAACCCUGAUCCAGCCAUGCCGCGUGUGUGAAGAAGGCCCUCGGGUUGUAAAGCACUUUCAGUGAGGAAGAACGCCUGGUGGUUAAUACCCAUCAGGAAAGACAUCACUCACAGAAGAAGCACCGGCUAACUCCGUGCCAGCAGCCGCGGUAAUACGGAGGGUGCGAGCGUUAAUCGGAAUUACUGGGCGUAAAGCGCGCGUAGGUGGCUUGAUAAGCCGGUUGUGAAAGCCCCGGGCUCAACCUGGGAACGGCAUCCGGAACUGUCAAGCUAGAGUGCAGGAGAGGAAGGUAGAAUUCCCGGUGUAGCGGUGAAAUGCGUAGAGAUCGGGAGGAAUACCAGUGGCGAAGGCGGCCUUCUGGACUGACACUGACACUGAGGUGCGAAAGCGUGGGUAGCAAACAGGAUUAGAUACCCCAGUAGUG
This 465-nucleotide ribosomal RNA is filed under the name Vreelandella stevensii. RNAcentral's name for it is "partial 16S ribosomal RNA". It matches the Rfam family "Bacterial small subunit ribosomal RNA", at positions 338 to 795 of the family's 1533-position model. The record is from RNAcentral. Lineage: Bacteria; Pseudomonadati; Pseudomonadota; Gammaproteobacteria; Oceanospirillales; Halomonadaceae.